Bubalus bubalis (water buffalo) is the source of this 1125-nucleotide long non-coding RNA. RefSeq lists it as uncharacterized. The transcript is spliced from 6 exons. Lineage: Eukaryota; Metazoa; Chordata; Mammalia; Artiodactyla; Bovidae. The record is from RefSeq and is a predicted model, not a curated record.
CCGCCAUUAGAGAAUAAACGUGUCUCCAGUUGCUUCUGCUCCUCGAGUUUUCUUCCAGCUUCCCGGCUCACACCUUGCCUACCUUGGGUUCAGCGAACAAUAUGAACAGCAAGAUAAAAGUAUAUAAGGAGGAUCAUAUUCCACCAAACCAAAAACAAGGGCCAAGCCUCAAUGUAACCAAGAGUUAAACCUGAUAGAUAAGGAAAGCAACUUUUCACUGAAGAAAUUGCAGGCCCUGGAUAAUAUAUACCAGAAGGAACAAGAUUUGACCGGAAACCUGUUUUGAUGACUUCUCUGUUCAUGGCAUUACUGGGUACCUGCUCAAUUUUUGCUCCAGCCUUUCCAAUUUCCUGUACAAUUAGAUUUGUUUGGGCAUCAUCAUUGGCAGCAGUAUACAGCAAUUCUCUUGUACUUCUUACAGAAUGGGUUCCAACCAGUGCCAGACCUAUCAUCAUGACAACGAGGGCUCUGCUUCCGACCACUGGGCAGGGGGUACUGGCUGGGCUGGCCUGCGUCUUCCGGGAUUGAUACAUGCUACGGUGGUUCAUGUCUGUGCCUUACUUCAUCUUUUUUCUGUUCCUCUGGUGGUGAUCUGAAUCUGUUUGUUGGCUGAUUGUAUCUGGCAAGUUGGAUAAAGCAUUCAAGAAAAUGAAGAAAGUAGCCAGUUAAAUGGAAGAAAAGAUGAGACAAAAAGUAUAAGAAAACAGGUACCAGAGAAGAAGAGAUCAGUCAUCUCCCGGACACCACAGAGUGCUAUCAUCAUCAUCCUUGGACAGCUUCAGUGAGAUAGGAGCUUGUUCCUAUUCAGCCUCUGCAGAACGAACUCUGAGAGAUGUCCUUCUGAUGUCAACUCACAACCCAUUUUAUGGCUUGGAAGAACACUGGGAAUUUCUUCAGGUGCACAUGAGGAAACACUCUGGACUUAAAACCAGGAAAUGCUGCUUCCAAAUCAUGGUCAGUACCUUACUAAUCAUUAAACACUUGAGCUUUCUGUCUCUUCAAAGCUUAUUCCUUCACUUGAAGUGAGAUAUUGUUUUUUGCCCUUCUUACCUUACAGGGUUAUUAUGGUGAUGUGAUGGAUAUGUUAAAUAUAUAUAUAUAUGUGUAUAUAUAUACAAACACACA